RNAcentral lists this ribosomal RNA (253 nucleotides) under uncultured prokaryote. RNAcentral's name for it is "partial 16S ribosomal RNA". It matches the Rfam family "Bacterial small subunit ribosomal RNA", at positions 524 to 776 of the family's 1533-position model. The record is from RNAcentral.
UACGGAGGGUGCAAGCGUUGUUCGGAAUUAUUGGGCGUAAAGCGCGUGUAGGCGGUUGUGCAAGUCCGAUGUGAAAUCCCCCGGCUUAACCGGGGAAGUGCAUUUGAAACUGCACGACUAGAGUACGGGAGAGGAGAGUGGAAUUCCCGGUGUAGAGGUGAAAUUCGUAGAUAUCGGGAGGAACACCAGUGGCGAAGGCGGCUCUCUGGCCUAAUACUGACGCUGAGACGCGAAAGCGUGGGGAGCAAACAGG